AAGACGGCGGACGCGAUUGGACCGCGCCAGAGGCGUCCCCGCCGCUGCCUGCCGCCGCUCGCGCGGCUGCCGCCCGCCUCCGGCGCCGCUGACCCCACCGCCCAUGUCCUCACACCGGGAAACGCUGCGGGAAAUCGCGCUGAGAGCGUGGUGUCGGCGUCGGAGCUCAGGCAGCCGAAUAGACAGAGGGGCCUUAAUGCUACCACACCCAAGAUGGCGGCUUGACCGGAAGUAGCUUCUGCCAGCACCCAAGAUGGCGACGAAGGGAGGCCGUCACAUGGUGCCGCACCAAAGAUGGCGAUUCGGCACGCGGCUUAUUUGACCUUCCAAAGGUGGCGGCGUCAGGCGCAUGCGUCUUGGGCAGGGACAAACACUGUUAGGGAGGAAGGACCCCGCUCCGUCUAUUCGGCUGCCUGAACGCCACCCUGACGCCGAUCCAGCGCUUUCAGCGCGAUUUUCCGUGGCGCUUCCCGGUGUGUGGACACGGGCUCUGGGGUCAGCGGCGCCGGGGGCGGGCGGGAGCCGCGCCAGCACCGGCAGGCAGCGGCGGGGACGCCUCUGUACCGGUCGCGCCGCGCCGCUCCCACGAGAAGCCCUCGGGGCACGCGCUGCCGCCGCCCCGCGCUCCCCUGCGGCCCGGGGAAAUGUGGGAAAACACAAAAUCAUCGAGGAAGAGCACUCACCGGGGCUGCCUCAGCCAUCCCCCUGCCCGAAGGGCGGCAGCCGCCCAGAGGCGGGAGCAGCCCGCAAGGAUGCAGCUGCUCUUUCCCAGGAGCCCAGGACUAAGUUGACGUUCCCUGAGUGGCUGCAGUUCCCUGGAUGUGGAGAGAGGAGGUCUCUGCCAGAGUGGGGGAAAUGUCCCUGCUGGUUGCUGUGUCCGCAGUGGGCAGAGAACACUGAUCUUGGCAAGAUGGGUUUUUCCUCCCAGUGGGUCUGUGCUGCUGGAAGUACAAAGGAGAUCAGUCUUGGAGUACCUGUUUGUUCACCUGUGGGGCUUGGGAGAGACAUUGGACAUGGAAUUCCAGGGAUGUUCCCCUUGCUGGAGUGAGAAGCAGUGGAAGCUGUUUGCUGUCUGCUUCUUCAUCCCUUUCACCUCGGUCCCAUGGGGUCCCAGGUAAUCCCCUCUCACCUUUGCUUUUCCAUGGGUCUCUAAAUGAGGGCUUGAGCUUUGCUGUAGGUCCCGUUUAUAGGGAGGGCCUAUUCCAGGAAAUGUUUCAUGGUCUGGACUGAUGCCACUGCAGGAAGAGCAGAAAACCCCACAGUUGCUGUGGCUCACUCAUC
RNAcentral lists this long non-coding RNA (1281 nucleotides) under Corvus moneduloides (New Caledonian crow). RNAcentral's name for it is "lncRNA (ENSCMUG00000018874.1)". The record is from RNAcentral. Lineage: Eukaryota; Metazoa; Chordata; Aves; Passeriformes; Corvidae.